This 349-nucleotide transfer-messenger RNA is filed under the name Oscillospiraceae. RNAcentral describes it as "Limivicinus sp900321275 Standard tmRNA". It matches the Rfam family "transfer-messenger RNA". From Rfam's summary of the family: Bacterial tmRNA, also known as 10Sa RNA or SsrA, is named for its dual tRNA and mRNA-like properties. Its role is to liberate the mRNA from a stalled ribosome. Lineage: Bacteria; Bacillati; Bacillota; Clostridia; Eubacteriales. RNAcentral also lists the same sequence under 1 other name. The record is from RNAcentral.
GGGGGUGUAACGGUUUCGACGGGGGCGUGGAGGCAGGAAUAGCGGGCGGAUGCGCCUGGCAUCCAUAAAACGGGCAACCUUAUAAAUUAAAGAACAACACUAAUCCUGUUGCUGUCGCUGCUUAAGCAGUGACCGUUCCGCCCGGGAGUACCACGGCCCGGGAUGGAGCGUCGACGAGUGGUGAACGUGAGUACGCUAAGCUUUGCGCGUGCCACGCAUCAUGAAGCUACCGAGUCCCCGAGGGUGACGGCUCCCGCUCGGGCAAGGGAAUACAAACAACCGUCUGCGCCCGGAGAAGUUCCUGUUAAAGUGCUUUCGGACAGGGGUUCAACUCCCCUCACCUCCACCA